RNAcentral lists this transfer RNA (85 nucleotides) under Pleurotus eryngii. RNAcentral's name for it is "tRNA-Glu". It matches the Rfam family "tRNA". Rfam says of the family: Transfer RNA (tRNA) molecules are approximately 80 nucleotides in length. Their secondary structure includes four short double-helical elements and three loops (D, anti-codon, and T loops). Further hydrogen bonds mediate the characteristic L-shaped molecular structure. tRNAs have two regions of fundamental functional importance: the anti-codon, which is responsible for specific mRNA codon recognition, and the 3' end, to which the tRNAs corresponding amino acid is attached (by aminoacyl-tRNA synthetases). tRNAs cope with the degeneracy of the genetic code in two manners: having more than one tRNA (with a specific anti-codon) for a particular amino acid; and 'wobble' base-pairing, i.e. permitting non-standard base-pairing at the 3rd anti-codon position. The record is from RNAcentral. Lineage: Eukaryota; Fungi; Basidiomycota; Agaricomycetes; Agaricales; Pleurotaceae.
UCGGAUAUGGUGUAACGGCUAACAUUGCCGCCUCUCACCUCUUUCUAGAUCGCGGCAGCUCGGGGUUCGAUUCCCCGUAUCCGAA